GAAUUGCGAAAAGUAAUGUGAUUUGCACCAUUCGUGAAUCAUCGAAUUCUUGAACGCACCUUGCACCAUGUGGGCAACUACAUGGUCUGCCUGUCUGAGCACUGACUAGUAUUCACCUCAAUCACCCUUUGAUGCUGGAUGGUUGGAUGUUUGGACACUCUGCGUUGCCUUUUGUGCAUGCAAUGUGUCUGCAAAAUAGUGAACACCAUUUGUGAGAAAUGAAUGUGUUGUUGAUGAAGGCGAACGCCAUAUAUUCAUCCUCUCUCACUCAUUUCUCACACUUAUACAUAUACAAGUCAAAGUUAUAUACACUUACCUCUCAGUCUCAGAUCAGGUAGGAUUACCCGCUUAACUUAA
This 357-nucleotide unclassified non-coding RNA is filed under the name uncultured fungus. RNAcentral describes it as "sequence contains ITS1". The stretch from base 1 to 104 matches the Rfam family "5.8S ribosomal RNA", at positions 50 to 154 of the family's 154-position model. The record is from RNAcentral. Lineage: Eukaryota; Fungi.